UGGGAACAGUGCAAAUCUGCCUUUGUGGCUC
This 31-nucleotide non-coding RNA is filed under the name Rattus norvegicus (Norway rat). The record is from RNAcentral. Lineage: Eukaryota; Metazoa; Chordata; Mammalia; Rodentia; Muridae.